This 1373-nucleotide long non-coding RNA is filed under the name Lupinus angustifolius (narrow-leaved blue lupine). RNAcentral's name for it is "long non-coding RNA (LANG_LNC001307)". Lineage: Eukaryota; Viridiplantae; Streptophyta; Magnoliopsida; Fabales; Fabaceae. The record is from RNAcentral.
GUUGCUACAAGCUGUAGAUUGUUUGGAAUUGAUCUUAUUGAUCAUACUAGGAACUCUCCUGCUAUAGAGAAAGCAUGUGUACAUUCUGAAAAUAUAUCCGAAAUCACGAAUGAGGGCUGCAUUAGAACCUUGUCCAAAACUGAUGCAGACCAUAAUUACGAUCUCUCAAAGGCAUCUAAAGAGAGGAAACAGGAACAGAUGCAAGCAUCUCCUAAAGAGACUCAAAGCAAGCAAAUCUGUAGCAGAAGUUGCACUAAGGUUCAUGCCAUAUUUUUAUUUAUUCUACAAAAAAAUGUUCGUAUUUAUACGAUAAACUUAAUGCUCUAAAGCCUAAUAAUUAGUAAAUUUUCUGAAGCCUGUUUGUGUUGAAGGUUCAAAUGCAGGGGAUCGCAGUAGGUCGUGCCGUGGACUUGACCAUGUUGGAUGGUUACGAUCAACUUAUAGAUGAAUUGGAGAAGAUGUUUGACAUAAAGGGUCAGCUUCAACUAAGGAAUAAGUGGGAAAUUGUGUUCACUGACGCCUUCGCUUCAACCAGCUGUCGUAAAAAAUAAGAGGCCUCGACCACCCAGUGAAAUUCCGGAUUUCGGUGAGGAAAUUUCUAUUUUAGUUCCUUCAAAAAAUUUAUAUUGAUUGAGUUAAUUACUCUUGACACUUAAAUAAAACUUUCAAAGUAGACACAACAACAGCUGCCUCAGCUUUCUGGGAUGCUGGGAUGACACCGUCCGAUUUAACACAACUUAAUGUUACGGCCGAAAGCAAAAGGAGUGACAGUAAUCAUAUGUGGCAUCAUAAGCAGAUUGAUAAUUGUAAAAACAGCUGCAAUGCUAUAUCAAGGAAUCAUGCACAAGGAAGUUGGCUAUCUUCUCCUCAUUCCAGUGUUCCUUCUCAUUUAUUUCAGGACCCGACCGAUGAUAGCAAGAGUGUAUCAGCUUGGCCUAAUUCAAAAACUCAUUCAGAAAAACUGAACAAUGAAAAUUUGCUUGACCAAGUUGAUAAGGAGAACAAAGUAGAGGUUGCUACAAGCUGUAGAUUGUUUGGAAUUGAUCUUAUUGAUCAUACUAGGAACUCUCCUGCUAUAGAGAAAGCAUGUGUACAUUCUGAAAAUAUAUCCGAAAUCACGAAUGAGGGCUGCAUUAGAACCUUGUCCAAAACUGAUGCAGACCAUAAUUACGAUCUCUCAAAGGCAUCUAAAGAGAGGAAACAGGAACAGAUGCAAGCAUCUCCUAAAGAGACUCAAAGCAAGCAAAUCUGUAGCAGAAGUUGCACUAAGGUUCAUGCCAUAUUUUUAUUUAUUCUACAAAAAAAUGUUCGUAUUUAUACGAUAAACUUAAUGCUCUAAAGCCUAAUAAUUAGUAAAUUUUCUGAAGCCUGUU